Molecule: ribosomal RNA, 254 nt
Filed under: uncultured bacterium
Lineage: Bacteria
Description: partial 16S ribosomal RNA
Rfam family: Bacterial small subunit ribosomal RNA
Source: RNAcentral
UACGGAGGGGGCUAGCGUUGUUCGGAAUUACUGGGCGUAAAGCGCGCGUAGGCGGCUUUGUAAGUUAGAGGUGAAAGCCCGGAGCUCAACUCCGGAAUUGCCUUUAAGACUGCAUCGCUAGAAUCAUGGAGAGGUGAGUGGAAUUCCGAGUGUAGAGGUGAAAUUCGUAGAUAUUCGCAGGAACACCAGUGGCGAAGGCGGCUCACUGGCCCGAUACUGACGCUGAGGCACGAAAGCGUGGGGAGCAAACAGGG